Rhododendron vialii is the source of this 108-nucleotide small nucleolar RNA. RefSeq annotates it as small nucleolar RNA snoR100. NCBI's taxonomy places the organism in Eukaryota, Viridiplantae, Streptophyta, Magnoliopsida, Ericales, Ericaceae. The record is from RefSeq and is a predicted model, not a curated record. The transcript has a single exon.
AAAUGAAGGAAGUAUGGUAAUGUGUAUAAAAAUUGAUCUGAGUCUUUAGGCCUGCCCUCCCUGAUGCCUUUCGACUUUGAUUCGGCAGUAUGGUUCAGCAGCAAAACG